UGCUACUCCUGAGUAAGCCUUGCUGCCCCACCAGGUGGUUCAAGGUGAGAGCUAGAGGGAGGGCCGUCUCGGACCUGGUCAAAGAAAAAGGUAAUUGAGUCUUGUGUGUUCAUUUUGAUCUCACUAGUUAACUUCUAUGCUACAAACCUCUUGUAUGAAACCAGCAUGCUGGUCGCGUGGUGGAAAUAACCAUGUACUGAAAUAGCAACAAAACAUUUUGGUCAGAUUUCUUUGAUCUGGGCAGGAUUCAUCCUUUACCUAUCCCCAUUAGGCUCCCCAAGUUUGGAUCUUCUAGGUUAAUUGGUUUGCUGUUAGGAGAAGUUUGAAUUUUCAUGUUUCACUUUAUUUUGCCCUCCAGGAAUUAAUGUAAAUUGAGUUGGAAAUCAAACAGUGUUUGCACUAGCUGCUUGAAACUUCACUCACUCAAUCAGUUCUCAAUGCACAUUCUCUGGUUUGUUCCUUGUUGAAGUAACCCUAUACUGUAUUAUCUGUGAGUGCUUUAGGAGAACACAGGCAAAUACACAUGUACUGAAAUAGCUGCAAAAUUUUUUGUUCAGAUUUCUUUGAUACUGGGCAGAAUUCAUCCUUGACCUAACCCCAGUAGGCUCCCCAAGUUUGGGUCUUCUAGGUUCAAUGGUUUGCUAACAGGCUGGGGUUAGGUUAGGGUUAGUGUUAGUGUUAGGGUUAGAGAUAGUGUUAGGGUUAGUGUUAAGUUUGGUUGAAUUUCAUUGAUAUUGCCAGGAUUCAUACUUUACCUAACCCCACUAGUCUCCCCAAGUUUGGAACUUCUAGGUUAAAUGGUUUGCUGUCAGGUACAAUUUGAAUUUUCAUGUUUCACUACAUUUUGCCCUAUGGGGAUGAACAGAAAGGGAGGUGGAAGUCAAGCAGGGUUGGUGCUAGCUGCUUGAAACUUCACUCACUCAAUCAGUUCUGUGUUCACUCUCUGGUUUGUUACUUGUUGAAAUAUCCCUAAGCUGAAGUAGAAAGAAACAGCUUUAUCUGUAAGUACUUUAGGAGAACACAGGCAAAUAACCAUGUACUGUAAUAGCUGCAAGGUUUUUUGGACAGAUUUUUUUCAUACAUGGCAGGAUUCAUCCUUUACCUAACCCCACUAGUCUCCCUAAGUUUGGGUCUUCCAAGUUCAAUGGUUUGCUAACAGGUUAGGGUUACAUUUAGGGUUAGGGUUAGCAUUAGGGUUAGUGUUAGUAUUAAGGUUAAGUUUUGUAGGAUUUCAUUGAAUCUGGGCAGGAUUAAUUUUUUACCUAUCUCCGCAGUCUUCCCAAGUUUGGACUUCUAGGUUCAAUGGUUCACUGUCAGGAACACUUUGAAUUUUCAUGUUUCACUUCAUUUUGCCCUAUAUGGAUGAAUGGAAUGGGAUGUAGAAAUCAAACAGGGUUGGUGCUAGCUGCUUGAAACUUCACUCACUGAAUCAUUUCUCAGUGCACACUCACUGAUUUGUGCUUCGUUGAAGUAGCCCUAAGCUCAAGCAGGCAGGAAAAACUUUAUCUGGGAACAAAAGAAAAUACUCAUGGACUAAAAUAGCUCCAAAAUUGUUUUGGUCGAAUUCUCUUUAUACUGGACAAGAUUCAUCCUUUACCUAAUGUGACUAGGCUUCCUAAGUUUGGGUCUUCUAGGUUCAAUUGUUCAUUAACAGGAAUAGGUUAGGUUUAGGUUUAGGGUAAAGGUUAGGGUUAGCGUUACGGUUAGGAUUAGGUUUGGUGGGAUAUCUUUGAUACUGGGCUAGAUUUAUUCUUUCACUAACACCAUUUGGAUCCCAAGUUUGGUUCCCCAGGAUCAAUGAUUCACAAGCAGGAAGUGUUUGGAUUUUCAGGUUUCAUUUCUUUUUGCCUUGUAGUGUUAUAUGGAAAUGGAGCUUCAAGUCAAACACCAUUUGUGCUAGCUCCUUGAAAGUAUACACACUCAGUAAGUUCUCAGUGCUCAAUCUCUGAUUUGCUCCUGUUUAAAAUAUCCCUAAGCAGAAGCACUCAGGCAUAGCUGUACCUGUGAAUGCUUUAGGAGCUCACCAUAGAAUAUCCAUGCACUGUAACAGCUGCAAAAAUUUUUUCAUUGGAUUUAUUUGAUACUGGGCAGGAUUUAUCUUUUCACUAUCCCCACUUGGCUUCCCAAGUUUGGUUGUCCUAGGUUCGAGCCUUCUCAGGCAGGAACAAUUUGAAAUUUCAGGUUUCACUUUGUUUUGCCCUGUAGUGAUGAAUGGAAAUGGAGCUUCAAAUCUAACACCAUUUGUCCUAGCUCCUUAAAACUUCACACACUCAAUUAGUACUCAGAAUGCUCUUUAUAGUUUCAUUCUGGUUGAAGUAGACCUAAGCAGAAACACACAAGAAGAACUCUCCCUGGAGUACUUGAGGAGCUACAAAAAGCAUACCCAUGUACUGAAACAGCUGCAAAAUUUUUUUCAUUGGAUUUCUUUGAUACUGGGCAAGAUUUAUCCUUUCACUACUGCCACUUGGCUCUCCAAUUUUGGUUCUCCUGGGUUCAACCGUGUGAAUGCAGGAACAAUUUUAAUUUGCAGGUUUCACUAUGAUUUGCCCUGUAGUGAUGAAUGGAAAUGGAGCUACAAAUCAAACACCAUUUUUUCUAGCUGCUUGAAACAUCACACACUUAAUCAGGUAUCAGUGUGCACUCUAUGGUUUGUUCCUGGUGAAGUAGCCCUAAGCAGAAUCAUGCAGGAACUACUUUCCCAAAGAGUACUUUAGGAGCUAGCAGGAGAAUAUCCAUGUACUGAAAUUUCUCCAAAAAUUUUUUUCAUUGUAUUUCUUUGAUAGUCAGCAGGAUUCAUACUUUCACUAACCUUUGGAUCCCAAGUAUGGUUCUCCUAGGAUCAAUGGUUUGCAAGAAAAAAUAGUUUGAAUUUUCAGGUUUCAUUUUGUUUUGCUCUGUAGUGAUGAAUGGAAAUGGAGUUGCAAAUCAAACACCGUUUGUGCAACUUGCUUGAAACUUCACACACUCAAUCAGUUCUCAGUGAACAUUCUUUGUUUUUUUUUCUAGUUAAAGUAGCCCUAAGCAGAAGCACUCAGAAACAGCUUUCACUGGGAGCAUUUUAGGAGCUACCAGGAGAAUACCCAUGCACUGAAAUAGCUGCCAAAAUUUUUUUGUCUGACUUCUUAGAUACUGGGCAGAAUUCAUCCUUUCAGUAACUUCUUUGAUACUGGGCAAGAUUCAUCAUUUGUCCUAGCUCCUUAAAACUAUGCUGCAAGUUUGGUUCUCCUAGGUCAUAGGCAGGAUCAAUUUGAAUUUUCAGGUUUCACUUCAUUUUGCCCUAUAGUGAUGAAUGGAAAUGGAGCUACAAAUCAAACAGAAUUUGUGCUAACUGCUUGAAACUUCACACAUUCCAUCAGUUCUCAGUGCACACUCUGGUUUGUUCCUGAUUGAAGUAGCCCUAAUCAGAAGCAUACAGGAAUAGCUUGUUCUGGGAGCUCUUUAGGAGGUAGCAGAAGAAUAUCCAUGUACUGAAAUAGCUGGAAAAAUCUUUUCAUUGUAUUGGUAUGGUACUGGGCAGGAUUCUUUUUUUCACAACCCUCAGUUGGCUUCCCAUGUUUGGUUCUCCUUGGUUCAACUGUUUUCGGGUAGGAAUGCUUUGAAUUUUCAGGUUUCACUUAAUUUUGCCCUAUAGAGAUGAAUGCAAUUGGAACUGGAAAUCCAACACGGUUUGUGCUAGAUGCUUGAAACUUCACACAGUUAGUUCUCAGUGCGCACUCCCUGCUUUGUUCCCUGUUGAAGUAGCCCUAAGCAGAACCAUUUCCCUGUGAGAGCAAGAACACCUUCAUUCAGGAGUACUUGAACAGCUUUCAGGAAAUUCUGAAUUUAGUGGAAUCUCUGCCCAAAUUCUUCUUGUGGAUUUCCUAGAUACUGGGCAGAAUGGAUCCUUUCACCAGUUCCAUUGUACCACCAAAAUUUGGACCACCUAGUUUCAAAGGGUCACUGGCAGGAAUGCUUUGAAUUUUCAGGAUUUAUUUUGUUUUCCUCUAUAAGGAUGAAUGCAAUUGGAUCUGGAAAUCCAAUUCAGUUUGUGCUAGCUGCUUGAAACUACACAUCCUCAGUUAGUUCUCAGUGUUCACUUCCUGUACUGUUGCCUAUUGAAGUAGUCCUAAGCAGAAGCAUGUGGAAGAACACCAUCUUUUGGGAACGUUUGUGCAGCUUGCAAGAAAGUCCAAAUUUACUGAAAUCUCUGCCCAAAUUUUUCCUGCCAAUUUCAUUGAUAAUGGGCUGGAUGAAUCAAUUCACCAGUUUCACCUUGUCCCCCACAUUUGAUCCUCCUAGAUUCAAGAAUGUGAUGGCACAAACGCUUUGAAUUUUCCCGUUUCACUUCAUUUUGCCCUAAGGGGAUGAAUGCAAUAAAAAGUGUGAAUCCAACAUGGUUUUUCUAGCAGCAUAAAACUUCACAUACUCCAUUAGUUGCAGUGUGCACUCCCUGCUCUGUUCCCUGUUGAGGUAGCCCUAGGCAGAAGCAUUUCCCAGAGCCUAGAGAAACACCUUUCUGGGGGAGCAUUUGAGCAGCUUGCAGGAAAGUCUGGAUUUAUUGGAGAUUUUGCCCAAAUUUUUCCUGCAAAUUUUGUUUAUUCUUGGCAGGAUGGAUUAUUUCAUGAGUCCCACCUUGCCUCCCAAAUUUGGCAUCCUAGGUUCAGGGGUGCACUGCCAGGAAUGCUUUGAAUUUUCAGGUUUCACUUUGUUUUGCCCUAUAGGGAUGAAUGCUAUUGGAACUGGAAAUCUAACAUGGUUUGUAUUAGCUGCUUGAAACUUCACAUGCUCAAUUAUUUCUCCAUAUGUGCACAAUAGUUUGUUUCUAGUUGAAGUAGCCAGAACACAGAAACACAUUUUCCUGUAAGUGCUUUUGGAGAUAGCUAGAAUAUAACUUUACUGAAACAGCUCCAAAAAAUUUUUCAUUGGAUAUUUUAUGUACUAGGCAGGAUUGAUCCUUUCACCAGAACCACUUGGCUUUUCAAGUUUGGUUUUCUUAGGUUCAAUGAUUUGCUGACAGGAACAGGUUGAAUUUUCAGGUUUCACUUUGUUUUACACUGUAGGGUUGAAUGGAAAUGGACCUAAAAUCCAAACACGGUUUGUGCUAGGUGCUUCACAUUUCACACAUUCAGUUAGUUAUCAGUGGGGGCACAGAGGUUUGUUUCUAGUUGAAGUUUCCCUAAAAAAAAAAAAAGAUGCAGGAAGAUGUUAUACUUUGAAUGCUUUAGAAGCUAGCAGGAGAGCAGCUAUUUACUGAAAGUGUUCAAAUCUUUCUUUUUGUCAAAUUUCUUUGAUAUUGGGCAGGAUUGGUCAUUUCACCAUCCCCAAUUGGCUCCCCAAGUUUGUUUUUCCUAGAUUGAAUGGUUCCAUGUCAGUAACAGUUUGAAUUUUCAUGUUUCUCUUCAUUUUGCCCUGGAGAGUUAAAUGGAAUUGGACCUGUAAAUCAAAUACAGUUUGUGAUAGCUGCUUGAAACUUCACACACUCAGUUAGUUCUCAGUGUGAACUCCCUACUUUGUUCCCUGUUGAAGUACCCCUAAGCAGAAGCAUUUCCAAGAGCAAGCAGAAACACCUUCAUUUGGGAGAAUUUGAACAGCUUGCAGGUAAGUCCAAAUUUACUGUAAUCUCUAUCCAAAUUUUUCCAGCAGAUUUUGUUGAUACUGGGAGGAAUGGAUCCUUUCACCAGUUUUAUCAUGCUCCCCAAGUUUGGUCCUCCUAGAUUCAAGGGUUCGCUUGCAGGAAUGCUUUGAAUUUUCAGGUUUCACUUUGCUUUACCUUAUAGGAAUGAAUGCAAUUGGAACUGGAAAUCCAACACAGUUUGUGCUAGCUGCUUGAAACUACACAUAUUCAGUUAGUUUUCAGUGUGCACUCCCUGCUAUGUUCCCUGUUUAAGUAGCCCUAAGCAAUCAUAUUUCCGAGAGCAUGGAGGAAUACCUUCUUUGGGGAGAGUUUGAGCAGCUUGCAAGGAAGUCUGAAUUUACUGGAAUCUCUGCCUAAAUUUUUCCUGCCAACUUCAUUUAUACUGGGAUGGAUGAAUCCUUUAACCAGUUUCACCUUGUCCCCCAAAUUUGGUUCUCCUAGGUUCAAGAAUGCAAUGGCAUGAACACUUUGAGUUUUCCCAUUUCACUUCAUUUUGCCCUAAGGGGAUGAAUUCAAUUAGAAGUGGAAAUCCAACAUGGUUUGUGCUAGUAUCAUGAAACUUCACAUAUUCAGUUCUCAGUGUGCACUACCUGCUCUGUUUCCUGUUGAAGUAGCCCUAAGAGAAGUAUUUCCCAGCACAAAGAGGAACACCUUCUUUUGGGAGCGAUUGAGCAGCUUAUAGGAGUGUCCGAAUUUACUAGAAUCUCUGCCCAAAUUUUACCUGCAGAUUUCAUUGAUACUGAGCAGUAUGGAUCCCUUCACCAUUCCCACUUUGCCCUCCAAAUUUGGUUCUCCUAAGUUUAAGGGUUCACCUGCAGGAAUGCUUUGAAUUUUCAGGUUUCACUUCAUUUUGCCCUAUAGGGAUGAAUGCAAUUGGAACUGGAAAUACAACACAGUUUGUGCUAGGUGCUUAAAACUUCACACAAUCAGUUAGUUCUCAGAGUGAACUUUCUGCUUUGUUCCCUGUUGUAGUAGCCCUAAGCAGAAGCAUUUCCCAGUGAGAACAGGAACACCUUCACUCUGAAGCAUUUGAACAGCUUUCAGGAAAUUCUGAAUUUAGUAGAAUCUCUGCCCAAAUUCUUCCUGAAGAUUUCCUAGAUACUGGGCAAAAUGGAUCUUUCACCAGCUCCAUCUUGCCACCAAAAUUUGGUCCUCCUACAUUCAAGGGUUCAAGGGUUAGGUGGCAUUUUCCAAUGGACAGGUAAGAUGUCUCUGAAAUUUGUGGCUUUUGCCAAAAUGAUUUUUGGUUUGCAGAGUACGGAUCAAGAAUUUAUGGGCUCCUCUACCAAUCUGAGGAUGAAGUUUGUGUUCUUUGGGUGGAGCAAGCCUUAUCUUGCCCAGAUACUAGGUGGGAUAUAUAGCUGUCAGCAAGAUCCAGAAGGCUGCAAGUGUAGAUAAUAUAGGCAAAGUUCCAUGUAUGAUUUUUCUUGGAGAAAGUGGCAUAAAUAAGAGAUGGAAAGAACAUGUAAUAGAGCUGGAACCAAGGGACAAGAGAACUGAGGCACUGGCAGGGGAACAUGAGAGUGAAGCAAGCCCCUUCCAUGUAGUGUACAGGGGAAGAGAAAGGGGGAGGCUGGCUGUCCAUUCACCAGGAUGCUUGGAUUUAGUCUCCCUAGGAUUGGGACUGAAAACUGGAGGGGUCUAUCAACCAGACCAUUUUAAUAAAUAGCAAAAUGGAAACAUAAGUUUAUCUGUUUGCCCAUCCCCAUUUAUCAUUCCCCUGAUAAAAUGCUUUAUUGGAUAUUUUAAAGUGUUUUGCCUUUUAAAAAUGAAGUAUAUACAGCAUUUUAAUUUUAAUGUAUUUAUUUACAAAACUAUAAUGUUACACACACCAUAGAAAGAUGUAUAAGAAAUACUACCCAUAAAACAUCAACUUCAGGGCUACAGUUUGUUUGAUUAACACUUAAUAUCUAUCAGUGUACAUCUAUGUAUGUAUAUAUUUUCAAUGAGAAAUCUUUCAAGGAAUCUCUGGUAAAAAUGACUGGGUGUUUGUUUUUAUAAAAGUUCUUUUUUAUUGGCUUAAAUAAGUGUUCCAUUCCACUCCACCAUAGAUUUUUUGUAUUAGCCAUAUGCCUUUCACUCAUUUUACAUCCUCUAGCUUUCAAGUGUUUAUUCAUUGUCAUUUUGAUCAAUGAAUCAUCUUCAUAACAUUUGUUGAAAAGCCCUGGGUUUUCUGAAAGUGCUUCAUUAAGCUUUAAUCUCUUACUCUGAUAAAGAAUGGCAUUCACUGGCAGCUUUCACACUUUCUAAGAUACCAAAAUCAUCUUGAUUUUUACAUUUUUUCCAAAUUCAAGCAGACUACAGGAAACACUUCCCCAAGCUUCCUAUGAAAAAUUGGUGAUUUCAAUUGUUACAGUCCACAUCAUUUCCUAUAGUUUUCUAGGAAAUAUGACAAUCCCCAUCAUCCCAAUACAAUUUCCUGAUCUUAUUCAUUCACAUUUCUCUGAAAUGUUAGGCAAGGAGGGCAAACCCUUAUCCCCAAAGGGCCAUGGACAGUGUGCAGAUGGCACCCAGCCUGAGCAGUGUGCUGACAACAGUCCUGAAACUCCUGGUUUUGUCUGUAGGGUAUUAUCAGAGUACCCAGGGUUACCUGAAGCACCUGAGCCCUGGUUUCCUGUUCUUGAAUAAGAAGACUCAUUAUUCCCAAAGUGCAAAUUUUAUGUUGAUCAAUUUUUCAUAAACCAAAUAAAGAUACUUUUAAUAUUUUUAAUUUCCACAUGCUGUCUUUUACUAUUGUGACCAAACUAAGAAAAUGUAUGCAAUCAGCAAAGAUAUGCUCUUCUAGUUAUCAAUGUAUGCUCUUGAUUUUUACAAAUUAAUUAUUUAUUAAUAACCAUAUAGGUGGAACAAAAAACACCCAAUUAUCAGUAAAAAUUUAGAAGUGAAGGCCUGCUGACAUUUCAUAUUUGUAGGAGUAGAAGAAUCAUUCAUGAAUAAAAUAGCUUUUAAUUGGUUGGAGAAAAUUAGCUGCAUUUUGUUGUUGCUAUUUCCUACUGGAGAUUAAAACCAGGGAUUCUUUACAACUAAACUAUAUCCCCAGUCUUUUUAUUUGUUAUUUUGACAAAGAUCUUGUUGAGUGGCCUAAUCUGAUCCAGAACUUGCCGUUCUGCUUGUUGAGCAUUGCAGUAUCUGGGAUCACAAGUACAUGCCACCAUGCUCAUAAACUAGUUAUAUUUUGAUGUCACAAACAUAAAGUGCAUGACAAAACAUUUAAUUUUUUCAAUAAUACAAAAUGACAAAAAAAUUAGAAGCAAAUAUAAAUGCCUACUUAUACAUAUUAUGUUGGCAAAGACUUUGCUAAAAAUGACCUGAAAAGCAAGUUGGCCACUGUUUUUCUCUUCUUUGAGGGUUUUAGAUAUUAAAACCCAGGACCUGGCAUCUAAACCAAAACUCUACCUUAGAGUCAUACCCUCAGCCCAAGAGCAAGCAUUUUUAAUUUCAGUUUAUCAAAAUAAAAAUCAACCCUCCAACACCUGCACCACCUACACUGAGUCCGAAAUACCUGCACUGCCUGUUCAGAGAGGAACACCAUGCUGAUGUUCCCUAUCCAUCAACAUGCAGUUCCACCCAAACUGCCUCAAUCUUGGGACAUUUGAGCCACUGCCAUAGCCCUCCCCACACUGUAAUCUCUACCAAGGGAAAAUGGAUAGGACCAGGAGGAAGCAUGAUACACCACACUGUGCAUCACUGAACAGGCCACCCAUUGACAUAGCACAGUCCAUCCUUCCAGCCUCAUCUCUAAAAAUGGUUGCCUCCAUCUUGGGACAUCUCUGCCACAUCUUGGGUUACCUCUGCUACCAUCUAUGCAAUAUUUAGUUGAGGGAGCUUCCACCUUGAGAUACCAACUGGGGUCUGGAAGCCUAACAUCAAGGUAACUAUAGAUUUGACACUACUGCUACCACCAACUAAGGACAUGGCCGGUUCCAUUUAAGGACAACAACCAGGACUUGGAAGACCAUCACCAAGGUCCCUGUGGGCCAGGUUUGCACCAGAGGUAUCCCUACUAGGUUUGUUGACAGACCCCACCCUGUUGCAUAGGCAACAGGGAGUCUUGCAUAGAGUCACCUUUCUCUCUUUUUUUCUUCUACUAACAGCCAACUUCUUUUAAUUCCUCUUUCACUCAUCCUAUAAUAUAAUUCCUCUGUAUUCUCAUAUCUUGCCUCAUAAACAUCACAACAUACCCCCAACCCCAUUCUCUCUCUAUCCACCAUUAGAAACUAUAAAUCCUUAUGCAAACCUACUGGCUAUGUGGUAGAAGAAAACAAACUCAUUGUUUCUGUUUAUAGCAAAAAAAAAACUGUAAAUAUCUAAAUAGAAGCUAAUUGAUUUAUGGCUGCAUAUUUGUUCCAUUUGGUGCUAAAAACAUUGAUUUCACCUUUAAAGAUGAAGUAUUGGUAACCUGAAGGGAAACUAUAAGAUUAUAGAGUUGAAACUUCAAUAUCUCAGAGCCAUACUGCAAAAGAGGAAGACACAUGGACAACAUAAAAAAAAACAAGGAAGAAAAGUGCCCCAAACAAACCAAGAUACUACAAUAAUAGAAUCUACUGACAGUGCAGUAGAUGUAAUGUCAGAGAAGAAGUUUAGAAUGUACAUAAUUAAAAUGAUCUACAAAUUAAAAAUGACAUAAGAGAGCAAAUACAGGGAAAAAUUGAUCACUCCCACAAAAUGAUAAGAGAGCAAAGACAGGCAACCAUUGAUCACACCAACAGAGAGAUAAGAGAGGAAAUACAGAUAGGAAAAGAUUAUUUCAAGAAAGAAUAAAAAUUUUGAAAAAAAAAACCCAGAAGUCCUUGAAAUAAAGGAAACAAGAAACCAAAUAAAACACUCAAUAUAAAGCAUGACCAACAGACUAGAUCACUUGGAAAACAGAACCUUAGAUAAUGAAGACAAAAUACACAAUCUUGAAAAUAAAGUUGAUCACACAUUAAAGAUAGCAAUAAACCGUGAACAGAACAUACAAGAAUUAUGGGAUAACAUCAAAAUAUCUAAGAUUUAUCAAGAUAGAGGAAGGUGCAGAGAUUCAAAACAAAGGAAUGUA
This 10652-nucleotide long non-coding RNA is filed under the name Marmota monax (woodchuck). Lineage: Eukaryota; Metazoa; Chordata; Mammalia; Rodentia; Sciuridae. The record is from RNAcentral.